RNAcentral lists this transfer RNA (71 nucleotides) under Schimmelmannia schousboei. Its description in RNAcentral is "tRNA-Cys". It matches the Rfam family "tRNA". From Rfam's summary of the family: Transfer RNA (tRNA) molecules are approximately 80 nucleotides in length. Lineage: Eukaryota; Rhodophyta; Florideophyceae; Acrosymphytales; Schimmelmanniaceae. The record is from RNAcentral.
GGCGGUAUGGCCAAGUGGUAAGGCAGAGGAUUGCAAAUUCUUUAUCCCCAGUUCAAAUCUGGGUGCCGCCU